AUGAAAAUGAUGGAAGAUAACAAAAGAGUUGGCAGGCUUCUGGACGUGUCCAGGCCUCGGCCCAACCACGGCGGUGAGGCGACCGAGGAGCCGGGCUUAACCCAGGGCCCAGGAGCGCCCCAGCCCUGCCCCGGGCCUGGGUGUCCCCCUAAGGUUUUAUUCGUUUAUUUGCUGAUUUUUAAUGCACUAGAGGCACGUGCUGCAGUCCACGACCUCUUUACCUCCCCCUCCCUUGCCCUGUUGCCGAAGCCUCCCUUUGCCCAGUUUAUGUCUGUCUUAGGCCUCACAGAACAAAAGGGAUUUGGGGUUGAUGCAGCUCAGCCAAGAGAGAAAAUGGGAAAGAGAAGGGAACCCAUGCAGCCAGAAAAGGAGAGAUGAAGCAGGUGAAAGAGCUGCGCACAAGAAGGAGGUGGUUUCCACCCCAUCAGGAGAGGCUUUGUUGGGGGGUCUGGGGGGCUCAGGGGUUGAGCACCUGCCUUGGGCCCAGGGCGUGACCCUGGGGGCCCGGGAUUGAGUCCCAUGUGGGGCCUCCUGCAUGGGGCCUGCUUCUCCCUGUGCCUGGGUCUCUGCCUCUCUCUCUGGCUCUCUCAGGAAUAAAUAAAUACAAUCAUGAAAAGAGAGAGAGAGAGUGUGAGUAAUGAGAGGCGGAUCACACUGUCCCCCCUACUUUUCCCAGGGCCCCCCUUCUCCCCUUCUCCUGUUUCACCCCCGCGGCUCAGUCGCCCAUUUCUGGUCUGCACCUAAUUUCCUGUGUGUCUGAGCCCCUCAUGGGUCUCUGGUCCCCUCUGGCCGGCCUCCCCGCAGAACCUGGGCUCCCCUGGGCCUCCGCAGGGGCCCCGCAGGCAGCCCUGGGCAUCUCCAUCCCCGCCUCUGCAGAAAUAGCACCCCUGGGCUCUGGCCGUCCAGGCCCAGGACUGCUCUGGCCCCCCUAAUUGGCCCUUUAAGUGCAGAAUUUAGCUUUUAUCACCUUUUCCCACAGACUCUGCUGCCGCGUCUGGGGAUUGGAGAACUUGCGUGCAUUUGUGGUGCCACUUUCGAACUCAAAUGCGAGGUCCAGGUAUAUGGUGUUUUUUUUUUUUAAACAAAUGGACUCACUAAAGAGGAGGAUUCAAAAUUACUGUAAAAAUUAUGAGGCCUCUAGUAAACAUACGCUGUUCGCUGCUCAAAAUUUAGAGCACGAAUAUGAGCAAACAAAAAUAAAAAAAUCACUGCCAACUCCACUCCUCAGACGUAGUCUCUUAGCAUUUCGGCGUAUCAUCCCCCAGGCCUCUGUAGGAGCUAAACAUGCGUAGGUUUACACAUGUGCAUCAGUCACAGUUUGAUCAGAGAAGCGCAACUAUUUGGGGAUAGACAUAAAAUAAGGGAUUUGACCUUUCUCAAGCAUGACAGCUAAAUUCUCUCUCUAUGCUGUUGCUUUCCUAUGUGGUGCUGGAGUCAGAAGACCUUUAUCAAGCUAGAUACGAUCUCUCAACCUCGAUUAUUUCAUUUGCAAAGCAGAAAUAUUACUUACCUAAGAGGGUUAUUCAAUAUUAAUGUCAUUAUUAAACAAAGUGAUAAUGUGUUUCAUCAUAGUUCCUCGUUUGCAGAAAGGACUCGUCAGUUUUAUCAAUAAUUAUUAUUAAUGAUUAUGUUGGUUACAUUUGCCAUCAUCCAGACGCCGGCUCUGGACUAGUAAUGUGGCUUUUUUGAUGCUCAGUUGCAUCACCUGUAAAACGGAGCCUUAAUACUUACUUCCAAGUACUAUUGUGAGAACUGAAUGAGAAAAUACUAAAAUACUGUCCCUAAAAAUACUUGGGACAGAGUCUUGCGUGAAGAGAGCACCCCGCGAAGGUCUACCGUUCUCCUAACGCCAAGACUGCAUUGGCUUUCAUGAGUCGCACUGCCGUGUCGUUGUCUCAUGUGGAGCCUUUGUCCUUGACGUCCUUGGAGCGCCACCUGCACCGUGAAAUAUCUCUGCUAUUCUAUACCUGAAAAAUAUUGUUUAUCAUGCUCAGUAUGGGGUUUUAUAUCUUAUCUUUAUUCCUUUCCAUUGCAACGACUUUCUAUUCUAUACCUCAGAACACCUAGAUUUCUUUCAAGCUUGAUUCUGAGUCCAACAGACUAUUCUCCCUUAAUUUUUCACGCUCCCUAUGAAUUGAGCUAAGAUAUUAGGUUGAGUAUUGUAAUACUCGGUUUUUGUAAGUAAAAAACGGUUACACAUUGGCUGUUGCAUAUGGUUCAACUGAAUGUUUAUUACAAAGUUGAAUAGAACUAAGGAUGUGAAUGUGAACUAACUCUUUAUUAGUAGUUUUGACCUUUUUUUGCGUCAUGCGUCUCUGAGACUAUUGUGGCACUAUUUAUGACGAAAAAAUGAAAGCUAUUUAUUUCCUAUUGUGGAAAUUGCAUUGGAUAUUAAUUUCCUUCAUGGAGAUAGAAUACAAAACAAAUUUUCUAAAAGAAAAAAGGCCUCUCUUAUUUUCAACUUUAUUUUUUUUUUUAAAGAUUUUUAUUUAUUCCUGAGAGAGAGAGAGAGAGAGACAGAGACAGAGACACAGGCAGAGGGAGAAGCAGGCUCCAUGCAGGGAGCCCAAUGCCGGACUCGAUCGCAGGAUCCCGGGAUCACACCCUGAGCCGAAGGCAGACGUCCAACCUCUGAGCCACCCAGGCGGCCUUUAUUUUCAACUUUAAUGUGAAAAAUGGUACUUGCUUAAAAAAUUAUAGCAACAUAAAUUGUGUAUGAAACUAAAAUGCAAACUUAAAUCAUGUUUAAAUUUCAAUGAGAACACAGGUUUUUGUUUGUUUGUUUGUUUGUUUUUGGUUUUGAAUAUGAAGUAAACAUUGUGGAGCGAACUUACAUGGCUGUGAAAAUCUAUCUUUUGACAGUCCUUUCUGAGUUUUCAUUUCUUUGCCUACAAAUGCUGGCAACCCUGACAGACAAAUGCCUGGC
This 2926-nucleotide long non-coding RNA is filed under the name Canis lupus familiaris (dog). RNAcentral describes it as "lncRNA (ENSCAFG00000058868.1)". The record is from RNAcentral. Lineage: Eukaryota; Metazoa; Chordata; Mammalia; Carnivora; Canidae.